RNAcentral lists this ribosomal RNA (272 nucleotides) under uncultured soil bacterium. Its description in RNAcentral is "partial 16S ribosomal RNA". It matches the Rfam family "Bacterial small subunit ribosomal RNA", at positions 26 to 285 of the family's 1533-position model. The record is from RNAcentral.
AGAAUCAACGCUGGCGGCGUGCCUAACACAUGCAAGUCGAACGCGAAAGCCCCGCAAGGGGUCAGUAGAGUGGCAAACGGGUGAGUAACACGUGGGUGAUCUGCCUCAGAGUGGGGGAUAACGACCCGAAAGGGUCGCUAAUACCGCAUAACAUCCUGCCUUUGGAUAGGUGGAGAUCAAAGCUAGGGAUCGCAAGACCUGGCGCUUGGAGAGGAGCCCGCGGCCGAUUAGCUAGUUGGUGAGGUAAUGGCCCACCAAGGCGACGAUCGGUA